AUUGAACGCUGGCGGCAGGCCUAACACAUGCAAGUCGAGCGGAUGAAGGGAGCUUGCUCCUGGAUUCAGCGGCGGACGGGUGAGUAAUGCCUAGGAAUCUGCCUGGUAGUGGGGGAUAACGUCCGGAAACGGGCGCUAAUACCGCAUACGUCCUGAGGGAGAAAGUGGGGGAUCUUCGGACCUCACGCUAUCAGAUGAGCCUAGGUCGGAUUAGCUAGUUGGUGGGGUAAAGGCCUACCAAGGCGACGAUCCGUAACUGGUCUGAGAGGAUGAUCAGUCACACUGGAACUGAGACACGGUCCAGACUCCUACGGGAGGCAGCAGUGGGGAAUAUUGGACAAUGGGCGAAGGCCUGAUCCAGCCAUGCCGCGUGUGUGAAGAAGGUCUUCGGAUUGCAAAGCACUUUAAGUUGGGAGGAAGGGCAGUAAGUUAAUACCUUGCUGUUUUGACGUUACCAACAGAAUAAGCACCGGCUAACUUCGUG
RNAcentral lists this ribosomal RNA (484 nucleotides) under uncultured bacterium. RNAcentral's name for it is "partial 16S ribosomal RNA". It matches the Rfam family "Bacterial small subunit ribosomal RNA", at positions 30 to 507 of the family's 1533-position model. The record is from RNAcentral.